Neofelis nebulosa (Clouded leopard) is the source of this 212-nucleotide long non-coding RNA. RefSeq lists it as uncharacterized. The record is from RefSeq and is a predicted model, not a curated record. Lineage: Eukaryota; Metazoa; Chordata; Mammalia; Carnivora; Felidae. The transcript has 4 exons.
GCUUUUUGUGUGUCGGUCCUCGCGGGGAGAAGGAUUUCUACAUCAAGGAUACACAAGUCUCUAAAAAGAAAGGAUGGAGAGCAUGAAGAGAAAGCAGGAGAAAAAUGAGGAAAAAGGAAUGUUCUGAUUAUUCCCAGUCACACUAAGGUUUUUCAGUGCUGCUCCUCUCCUUUUUCCAAGGCCAUCCGGCUUUUCUCUACAUACUUGAUGAG